UAGUUGUGCAGUUUCCUGCAGCACAGCGAUGGACCUGGGCGAUGCCCUGCACUUAAGUUACAUAUUCAUCAAGUAUAUGUUGCGUUAUCCUUGUCCCUUGACAAGAGAAUCGGCUGUGAAGCAUGUUCUGAAUGGGAUCAGGAUCUCGGAGGAAACUCAAAUACGUACAUCACUCUUUCAGUACUGCUUGGUUUCUGUGUGAUUCUGAAACCAAUCCUACCCUAGUCUGUGCUGCAGUAAGGACUGUGGGAGGCUGUGCUUGAUGCUUGACAAAAAUCAGGUUGCAGAUGGCUUCUGCAGUGAGGAGUAGCAAGUUUGCUAGCAGACCUGCUGGCUACAGCUUGUAAAUGCAUAGCUCCAACUGUACAUCUUUAUUUCAAAGAAUGCAUGGGGGUUUUAAAGUUAAUUAAUUUUGGGGGGGGGGGUGUCUUAGAGUGACCAUUUCAAAUUUGGGGCUUAAACAGCCUUUGUAAAAUCAAAGUAGCAAUUUGUGACUGCUGCUAGUCAAAGGAAAGACGUAUACUUGUGUGUCUGUUACAAAAAUGAAAGCCAGGUGUGCUCUGCACAAUAAGAUUAUCUUUAAUUUUGACAAACAGUAACAGUAAACAAGAUGACAUUCCAGUGAAAAAGGAGGACAGUGUAAAACACCACAAUGCAACAAUGCCAGAGAAAAAACCACAUUUAUAUUUGUAUACAUACAAUAAGCAAGGCCCUGAGUAUCACAAUAGCUGGAAUAAACUUUUUAGGCACUAAGCUUGUUUGAAAAAUACACAGUAUGCAGGACAACAUUUGUCUGUUAAGGCUAUAUCAUUUAGUCUUCAAAAAAUGAGUGAAUUCUGUUUUAUUAUCUCUUUUGAAUGGUGUCAAUCUAAUAACUUCAAAUUAAAAAUGACAAUCCAGUAACUAAUGGCUUACAAAGUAGAGCCACAGGUGGGUAGCAAGACCUAUACUGAUAACAGGAGUUAGAUAAUCGUGCUUGAUAUGACAUUUUUAAACUUUCUGAAAUGUUGGUUUUGAGUAAUAGUAAAUUUUCCUUGGCAGUCACUGGAUUAACUGUUAAGUAAACUUUAUUGUGUGUCAGUUAGAAACUGCAAUUCACUGUGCCCCUGCUUGUGAGGAGGGCCGGUUACAGAAGUUGGUACAAUGUUUCAUAUCCAUACAGUGUAUCUUCAAACUUGAGAUUAAUUGGUUCUUUAUCAGCGGCAGAAGCCAUCUAACGUAAAUCAAAAUCAAUACUAUCUAGUAAUUCACAGUUUUACAUAAAAUAACAUUGAACACUUUGCUGCAGUUAGGAUAUCAGCACAUUCAGAUAAAUACCUUAUUUUUAUAUUGGACUAACAAGAAUGUACCUAUAACAUAGCCACAGCUAGCUGAGUCAAAGCAGUAUUUAGGUGAAGAUUGACUAUGGAAAGAGACAUAAAAUACAGUAAAUGCUUACGCUUUUUGCGGUACAUGCUUAAAAUGUAAACUAGAUACAGCCUAGUACUGCAUGUAUGUACUGUAUCAGUGUGAGAGGUGAUUCAGCUACUUCAGUGACUAUUUGAUGUUUGCUGUGCCAAAGCAUUAAAAUGAUUUCUCUAACUGGCGAAAGCAAUCAAAUUGCAGAAACUCUUUAAUUUGCCAUAAAAUAUUGUCAAAGGUGAAAAUCGUUUUAAUUUGCUCUUAAAAAAAUCCUUGGGGUGAGGGGCCAAGGGCAAAACAAAACCUGUUAUUUGAUGGCUCCCUGGACUAUCUGUGCAAAUCAGUUUUAAAAAAACUUGUUGUUUUCCAUUAACUUAUUAGCUUUCAUGUCAAUACUGUCUGGAAUUUCCAACAAUCUGAGGAAAUGUUAAAAAUAAAAAGCAAAAUAAAUAAAAAUCAAGCAGGAAAUAAUUUAAGAUAGUGAAAAGGAAUUUUUUUGUUUUGUUAUUAAAUAUCUUUCCCCCUCCCCCAGCUAUGAUCCUGUAUCUUGGAUAAAUUGAGAGGGAUAAAAGACAUGACAAGUACCUUCAUUGCCUUGUCCUUAAGAA
Long non-coding RNA from Pezoporus flaviventris, 2009 nucleotides. RefSeq lists it as uncharacterized. The record is from RefSeq and is a predicted model, not a curated record. Lineage: Eukaryota; Metazoa; Chordata; Aves; Psittaciformes; Psittacidae. The transcript is spliced from 2 exons.